This 506-nucleotide ribosomal RNA is filed under the name uncultured Glomeromycotina. RNAcentral's name for it is "SSU rRNA". It matches the Rfam family "Eukaryotic small subunit ribosomal RNA", at positions 569 to 1077 of the family's 1831-position model. Lineage: Eukaryota; Fungi; Glomeromycota. The record is from RNAcentral.
AGCAGCCGCGGUAAUUCCAGCUCCAAUAGCGUAUAUUAAAGUUGUUGCAGUUAAAAAGCUCGUAGUUGAAUUUCGGGAUCGAAUUGUUGGUCGUGCUUCGGUACGCACUGGCAUUAUCGGUUCCUACCUUCUGAAGAGCCGCGAUGUCAUUAAUUUGGUGUCGUGGGGAAUCAGGACUGUUACCUUGAAAAAAUUAGAGUGUUUAAAGCAGGCUUACGCUUGAAUACAUUAGCAUGGAAUAAUGAAAUAGGACGUUUGAUUCUAUUUUGUUGGUUUCUAGGAUCGACGUAAUGAUUAAUAGGGAUAGUUGGGGGCAUUAGUAUUCAAUUGUCAGAGGUGAAAUUCUUGGAUUUAUUGAAGACUAACUACUGCGAAAGCAUUUGCCAAGGAUGUUUUCAUUAAUCAAGAACGAAAGUUAGGGGAUCGAAGACGAUCAGAUACCGUCGUAGUCUUAACCAUAAACUAUGCCGACUAGGGAUCGGAUGAUGUUAAUUUUAUAAUGACUC